CAGUCGCCGCGGGAAUCCGAAGGGGGCUAGCGUUGCUCGGAAUUACUGGGCGUAAAGGGAGCGUAGGCGGAUCGUUAAGUCAGGGGUGAAAUCCCAGAGCUCAACUCUGGAACUGCCUUUGAUACUGGGUGUCUUGAGUGUGAUAGAGGUAUGUGGAACUCCGAGUGUAGAGGUGAAAUUCGUAGAUAUUCGGAAGAACACCAGUGGCGAAGGCGACAUACUGGAUCAUUACUGACGCUGAGGCUCGAAAGCGUGGGGAGCAAACAGGAUUAGAUACCCCCGUAGUCCCUGUCUCUUAUAC
RNAcentral lists this ribosomal RNA (301 nucleotides) under uncultured bacterium. Its description in RNAcentral is "partial 16S ribosomal RNA". It matches the Rfam family "Bacterial small subunit ribosomal RNA", at positions 509 to 807 of the family's 1533-position model. The record is from RNAcentral.